RNAcentral lists this ribosomal RNA (497 nucleotides) under Varuna litterata. Its description in RNAcentral is "partial large subunit ribosomal RNA". Lineage: Eukaryota; Metazoa; Arthropoda; Malacostraca; Decapoda; Varunidae. The record is from RNAcentral.
CGCUUGACCUGCCCACUGAUUGGAACAAAAUUAAAUGGCCGCGGUAUAUUGACCGUGCAAAGGUAGCAUAAUCGUUAGUUUUUUAAUUGGAAUCUUGUAUGAAUGGUUGGACAAAAGAAAAUCUGUCUUUAUAUUAUUAAUUGAAUUUAACUUUUAAGUGAAAAGGCUUAAAUGGAUUAAAGUGACGAUAAGACCCUAUAAAGCUUUAUAUAGAUAUAUUAUUUAAUUAAAUUUUUAAUAAAAAUUUAGUAGUAAAAUUUAUUUUAUUGGGGCGAUAAGAGUAAAAUUUUUAUUAACUGCUUUAAGUUUUGAAUACAUUUAUGUUUGAUUAAAAUUUUAAAUGAUCCUAAAUAAAGAUUAAAAGUUUAAGUUACUUUAGGGAUAACAGCGUUAUUUUUUUUGAGAGUACUUAUCGAAAAAAAAGUUUGCGACCUCGAUGUUGAAUUAAACAUUUCUUUAUAAUUGCACAAGUUAUAAAUAGUAGCUCGGGUCGCCUU